AUUGAACGCUAGCGGGAUGCUUUACACAUGCAAGUCGAACGGCAGCGCGGACUUCGGUCUGGCGGCGAGUGGCGAACGGGUGAGUAAUGUAUCGGAACGUGCCCAGUAGCGGGGGAUAACUACGCGAAAGCGUAGCUAAUACCGCAUACGCCCUACGGGGGAAAGCAGGGGAUCGUAAGACCUUGCACUAUUGGAGCGGCCGAUAUCGGAUUAGCUAGUUGGUGAGGUAACGGCUCACCAAGGCGACGAUCCGUAGCUGGUUUGAGAGGACGACCAGCCACACUGGGACUGAGACACGGCCCAGACUCCUACGGGAGGCAGCAGUGGGGAAUUUUGGACAAUGGGGGCAACCCUGAUCCAGCCAUCCCGCGUGUGCGAUGAAGGCCUUCGGGUUGUAAAACACUUUUGGCAGGAAAGAAACGUCGCGGGCUAAUACCCCGUGGAACUGACGGUACCUGCAGAAUAAGCACCGGCUAACUACGUG
This 484-nucleotide ribosomal RNA is filed under the name uncultured bacterium. Its description in RNAcentral is "partial 16S ribosomal RNA". It matches the Rfam family "Bacterial small subunit ribosomal RNA", at positions 30 to 507 of the family's 1533-position model. The record is from RNAcentral.